RNAcentral lists this ribosomal RNA (2903 nucleotides) under Escherichia coli DEC9D. Its description in RNAcentral is "23S ribosomal RNA". The record is from RNAcentral. Lineage: Bacteria; Pseudomonadati; Pseudomonadota; Gammaproteobacteria; Enterobacterales; Enterobacteriaceae.
AAGGUUAAGCCUCACGGUUCAUUAGUACCGGUUAGCUCAACGCAUCGCUGCGCUUACACAUCCGGCCUAUCAACGUCGUCGUCUUCAACGUUCCUUCAGGACUCUCAAGGAGUCAGGGAGAACUCAUCUCGGGGCAAGUUUCGUGCUUAGAUGCUUUCAGCACUUAUCUCUUCCGCAUUUAGCUACCGGGCAGUGCCAUUGGCAUGACAACCCGAACACCAGUGAUGCGUCCACUCCGGUCCUCUCGUACUAGGAGCAGCCCCCCUCAGUUCUCCAGCGCCCACGGCAGAUAGGGACCGAACUGUCUCACGACGUUCUAAACCCAGCUCGCGUACCACUUUAAAUGGCGAACAGCCAUACCCUUGGGACCUACUUCAGCCCCAGGAUGUGAUGAGCCGACAUCGAGGUGCCAAACACCGCCGUCGAUAUGAACUCUUGGGCGGUAUCAGCCUGUUAUCCCCGGAGUACCUUUUAUCCGUUGAGCGAUGGCCCUUCCAUUCAGAACCACCGGAUCACUAUGACCUGCUUUCGCACCUGCUCGCGCCGUCACGCUCGCAGUCAAGCUGGCUUAUGCCAUUGCACUAACCUCCUGAUGUCCGACCAGGAUUAGCCAACCUUCGUGCUCCUCCGUUACUCUUUAGGAGGAGACCGCCCCAGUCAAACUACCCACCAGACACUGUCCGCAACCCGGAUUACGGGUCAACGUUAGAACAUCAAACAUUAAAGGGUGGUAUUUCAAGGUCGGCUCCAUGCAGACUGGCGUCCACACUUCAAAGCCUCCCACCUAUCCUACACAUCAAGGCUCAAUGUUCAGUGUCAAGCUAUAGUAAAGGUUCACGGGGUCUUUCCGUCUUGCCGCGGGUACACUGCAUCUUCACAGCGAGUUCAAUUUCACUGAGUCUCGGGUGGAGACAGCCUGGCCAUCAUUACGCCAUUCGUGCAGGUCGGAACUUACCCGACAAGGAAUUUCGCUACCUUAGGACCGUUAUAGUUACGGCCGCCGUUUACCGGGGCUUCGAUCAAGAGCUUCGCUUGCGCUAACCCCAUCAAUUAACCUUCCGGCACCGGGCAGGCGUCACACCGUAUACGUCCACUUUCGUGUUUGCACAGUGCUGUGUUUUUAAUAAACAGUUGCAGCCAGCUGGUAUCUUCGACUGAUUUCAGCUCCAUCCGCGAGGGACUUCACCUACAUAUCAGCGUGCCUUCUCCCGAAGUUACGGCACCAUUUUGCCUAGUUCCUUCACCCGAGUUCUCUCAAGCGCCUUGGUAUUCUCUACCUGACCACCUGUGUCGGUUUGGGGUACGAUUUGAUGUUACCUGAUGCUUAGAGGCUUUUCCUGGAAGCAGGGCAUUUGUUGCUUCAGCACCGUAGUGCCUCGUCAUCACGCCUCAGCCUUGAUUUUCCGGAUUUGCCUGGAAAACCAGCCUACACGCUUAAACCGGGACAACCGUCGCCCGGCCAACAUAGCCUUCUCCGUCCCCCCUUCGCAGUAACACCAAGUACAGGAAUAUUAACCUGUUUCCCAUCGACUACGCCUUUCGGCCUCGCCUUAGGGGUCGACUCACCCUGCCCCGAUUAACGUUGGACAGGAACCCUUGGUCUUCCGGCGAGCGGGCUUUUCACCCGCUUUAUCGUUACUUAUGUCAGCAUUCGCACUUCUGAUACCUCCAGCAUGCCUCACAGCACACCUUCGCAGGCUUACAGAACGCUCCCCUACCCAACAACGCAUAAGCGUCGCUGCCGCAGCUUCGGUGCAUGGUUUAGCCCCGUUACAUCUUCCGCGCAGGCCGACUCGACCAGUGAGCUAUUACGCUUUCUUUAAAUGAUGGCUGCUUCUAAGCCAACAUCCUGGCUGUCUGGGCCUUCCCACAUCGUUUCCCACUUAACCAUGACUUUGGGACCUUAGCUGGCGGUCUGGGUUGUUUCCCUCUUCACGACGGACGUUAGCACCCGCCGUGUGUCUCCCGUGAUAACAUUCUCCGGUAUUCGCAGUUUGCAUCGGGUUGGUAAGUCGGGAUGACCCCCUUGCCGAAACAGUGCUCUACCCCCGGAGAUGAAUUCACGAGGCGCUACCUAAAUAGCUUUUCGGGGAGAACCAGCUAUCUCCCGGUUUGAUUGGCCUUUCACCCCCAGCCACAAGUCAUCCGCUAAUUUUUCAACAUUAGUCGGUUCGGUCCUCCAGUUAGUGUUACCCAACCUUCAACCUGCCCAUGGCUAGAUCACCGGGUUUCGGGUCUAUACCCUGCAACUUAACGCCCAGUUAAGACUCGGUUUCCCUUCGGCUCCCCUAUUCGGUUAACCUUGCUACAGAAUAUAAGUCGCUGACCCAUUAUACAAAAGGUACGCAGUCACACGCCUAAGCGAGCUCCCACUGCUUGUACGUACACGGUUUCAGGUUCUUUUUCACUCCCCUCGCCGGGGUUCUUUUCGCCUUUCCCUCACGGUACUGGUUCACUAUCGGUCAGUCAGGAGUAUUUAGCCUUGGAGGAUGGUCCCCCCAUAUUCAGACAGGAUACCACGUGUCCCGCCCUACUCAUCGAGCUCACAGCAUGUGCAUUUUUGUGUACGGGGCUGUCACCCUGUAUCGCGCGCCUUUCCAGACGCUUCCACUAACACACAUACUGAUUCAGGCUCUGGGCUGCUCCCCGUUCGCUCGCCGCUACUGGGGGAAUCUCGGUUGAUUUCUUUUCCUCGGGGUACUUAGAUGUUUCAGUUCCCCCGGUUCGCCUCAUUAACCUAUGGAUUCAGUUAAUGAUAGUGUGUCGAAACACACUGGGUUUCCCCAUUCGGAAAUCGCCGGUUAUAACGGUUCAUAUCACCUUACCGACGCUUAUCGCAGAUUAGCACGUCCUUCAUCGCCUCUGACUGCCAGGGCAUCCACCGUGUACGCUUAGUCGCUUAA